GGUGGCUCAGUGUUAGAGCGCUUGCCUUGCAUGCAUGAGGCCCUGGGUUAGAUUUCCCCAGCACCA
This 66-nucleotide transfer RNA is filed under the name Dipodomys ordii (Ord's kangaroo rat). It matches the Rfam family "tRNA". Rfam says of the family: Transfer RNA (tRNA) molecules are approximately 80 nucleotides in length. Their secondary structure includes four short double-helical elements and three loops (D, anti-codon, and T loops). Lineage: Eukaryota; Metazoa; Chordata; Mammalia; Rodentia; Heteromyidae. The record is from Rfam by way of RNAcentral.